UACGUAGGAGGCGAGCGUUGUCCGGAUUUACUGGGCGUAAAGAACGCGUAGGCGGUUCGUUAAGUUUGGCGUAAAAUCUCCUGGCUCAACUGGGAGGGCGCGCUGAAGACUGGCGGACUGGAGGGCAUCAGAGGAAAGCGGAACUCCCGGUGUAGUGGUGAAAUGCGUAGAGAUCGGGAAGAACACCUGUGGCGAAGGCGGCUUUCUGGGGUGUACCUGACGCUGAGGCGUGAAAGCGUGGGGAGCGAACCGG
Molecule: ribosomal RNA, 253 nt
Filed under: uncultured bacterium
Lineage: Bacteria
Description: partial 16S ribosomal RNA
Rfam family: Bacterial small subunit ribosomal RNA
Source: RNAcentral